Molecule: long non-coding RNA, 408 nt
Organism: Limanda limanda (common dab)
Lineage: Eukaryota; Metazoa; Chordata; Actinopteri; Pleuronectiformes; Pleuronectidae
Exons: 4
Source: RefSeq, a predicted model, not a curated record
CCUCCUUCGUCACAUCCUCUUUCCAUGCUCUCCUCGCUUCGAGAAUCUUCUCCACACGAUGAGAGCUAAGUGGAGGAAGAAGCGUAUGCGCAGACUGAAGCGUAAAAGGAGGAAGAUGAGGCAGAGGUCUAAGUAAGCCCUCAUCGCUGCAGCUGUGAUCCCGUCCGAGCCCCUCCAGACGACUGACACGUGUGGACUGUGGAGCUGCAACCAGUGACGCAAGGCCCAACCCUGUUUUCAGAGGACAGCACCACUCAUGGAUGUCUGACUGGAAGACGGCAAAGACGCUGGACCGGUUUUGCAACAUCAGAACGGCAGCUGCAAUGUUCAUGGACCAUUACACAUACUGUUUGCCAACAACUGUCAUGUGGUGUUUUGAACAAUAAAUCAACACUGUUUAAAAGUUUA